UACGUAGGGUGCGAGCGUUGCCCGGAAUUAUUGGGCGUAAAGGGCUCGUAGGCGGUUUGUCGCGUCGGGAGUGAAAACCUUGGGCUUAACUCAGGGCUUGCUUUCGAUACGGGCAGACUAGAGGUAUGCAGGGGAGAACGGAACUCCUGGUGUAGCGGUGGAAUGCGCAGAUAUCAGGAAGAACACCGGUGGCGAAGGCGGCUCUCUGGGCCUUACCUGACGCUGAGGAGCGAAAGCGUGGGUAGCGAACAGG
This 253-nucleotide ribosomal RNA is filed under the name uncultured bacterium. RNAcentral describes it as "partial 16S ribosomal RNA". It matches the Rfam family "Bacterial small subunit ribosomal RNA", at positions 524 to 776 of the family's 1533-position model. The record is from RNAcentral.